Molecule: unclassified non-coding RNA, 417 nt
Filed under: soil metagenome
Description: partial contains 5.8S ribosomal RNA, internal transcribed spacer 2, and large subunit ribosomal RNA
Rfam family: 5.8S ribosomal RNA (bases 1-120)
Source: RNAcentral
GAUGAAGAACGCAGCGAAAUGCGAUAAGUAAUGUGAAUUGCAGAAUUCAGUGAAUCAUCGAAUCUUUGAACGCACCUUGCGCUCCUUGGUAUUCCAAAGAGCAUGCCUGUUUGAGUAUCAUUAAAUUAUCAACUGUACCAAUUUGGUUGCAGAUUGGAUGUGGGAGAUUUUGCAGGCUUUUGAUUUCUCUUUGAGAAAACGGUCAGCUCUCCUGAAAUAUAUUAGCAGUGCCUUUGUUGGUUCAUUAGGUGUGAUAAUUUAUCUACAUCUUCACAUGGUACCUUCAUUUGUGUAAAGGUCAUAUUGCUUCUAAUUGUCUUUGGCCAUAAAAAAAAAAAACAUAUAAUUGUAUGGAAAACUUGAUCUCAAAUCAGGCAGGACUACCCGCUGAACUUAAGCAUAUCAAUAAGCGGAGGA